This 557-nucleotide long non-coding RNA is filed under the name Bemisia tabaci. RNAcentral describes it as "lncRNA ENSSWEETPG000202". Lineage: Eukaryota; Metazoa; Arthropoda; Insecta; Hemiptera; Aleyrodidae. The record is from RNAcentral.
ACGCCAUGUUUUUUCUGUAAUUUGUCUGUAUCCACAAGUGAAAUAGUGUCGGCCUUUUACCGCUGUCGAAUUAAUUUUUCGCAUUAUGAACGUGUUGAUUGUGCCUUUUCAUAAUUAAAGGUUUAAGAAAUCUUGAACUUUUUGAUUGUGCAGUAUAUCCCUCGUUUUUUUUCAUACUAUCACGCCGAUAACGUCGUUGCACCAUGACUGCCAAAAAACCCUCGGGUACUCAUUUAAAUGAUCUUCGUGUCAUCGAUCUUAAACUGAGCUAGAAAAAAGGAGUCUGGAAACGAAAGGCGUCAAAAAAGAACUAACCGAAAGGUUGUCCAAGGCAUUAGUCGAUGAAGGCCACAAUCCGGAGGAGUAUCUCUUGAUCUUAAUUCUGAAAAAAAAAAGUCAGCGCCCGCAAAAAGGAUGAGCCAAGCGCUGAUGACAGCUUGUCAGAGAAAGAAGAUAAGGAUGCAAGUAUGACAGAGAAUGGGAUUCAGAAGAUGCAAUCAAAGAAGAAGAGGUAGAAUAAAAAGCUGAUGAACCUGAACCUAAGAUAAGAAAGAGGA